CUCCCCCAAAGCCAGAAAUUCAUUUUGUCCAUGACUUGCCUCCCAUAUCACCAGAGGUAACUAUUUUACUGUAUGAUUUGCCACUGAAUGACACGAGUCAACACCACUCAAGCCUCUGAUACAUGUAUUGCUUCAGGUAUCGUGGGUCAAGGAGGGUCUCUUGGCACUGAGCUUUGCUGCCUUGGAAGACGGUUGAUGCAGGGGGCUGGCCCCGUGGCCGAGUGGUUAAGUUCGCGCGCUCUGCUGCAGGCAGCCCAGUGUUUUGUUGGUUCGAAUCCUGGGCGCGGACAUGGCACUGCUCAUCAGACCACGCUGAGGCAGCGUCUCACAUGCCACAACUAGAAGGACCCACAACAAAAUAUACA
This 365-nucleotide long non-coding RNA is filed under the name Equus caballus (horse). Its description in RNAcentral is "lncRNA (ENSECAG00000048775.1)". The record is from RNAcentral. Lineage: Eukaryota; Metazoa; Chordata; Mammalia; Perissodactyla; Equidae.